This 86-nucleotide transfer RNA is filed under the name Candidatus Adiutrix sp. RNAcentral's name for it is "tRNA-Ser". It matches the Rfam family "tRNA". Rfam says of the family: Transfer RNA (tRNA) molecules are approximately 80 nucleotides in length. Their secondary structure includes four short double-helical elements and three loops (D, anti-codon, and T loops). Further hydrogen bonds mediate the characteristic L-shaped molecular structure. tRNAs have two regions of fundamental functional importance: the anti-codon, which is responsible for specific mRNA codon recognition, and the 3' end, to which the tRNAs corresponding amino acid is attached (by aminoacyl-tRNA synthetases). tRNAs cope with the degeneracy of the genetic code in two manners: having more than one tRNA (with a specific anti-codon) for a particular amino acid; and 'wobble' base-pairing, i.e. permitting non-standard base-pairing at the 3rd anti-codon position. The record is from RNAcentral. Lineage: Bacteria; Pseudomonadati; Thermodesulfobacteriota; Desulfarculia; Candidatus Adiutricales; Candidatus Adiutricaceae.
GGAGGGAUGGCCGAGUGGUUUAAGGCGGCGGUCUUGAAAACCGUUGAACGCAAGUUCCGUAGGUUCGAAUCCUAUUCCCUCCGCCA